CCUACGGGAGGCAGCAGUGGGGGAUAUUGCACAAUGGGGGGAACCCUGAUGCAGCGACGCCGCGUGGGUGAAGAAGCGCCUCGGCGCGUAAAGCCCUGUCAGCAGGGAAGAAAAUGACGGUACCUGAAGAAGAAGCCCCGGCUAACUACGUGCCAGCAGCCGCGGUAAUACGUAGGGGGCAAGCGUUAUCCGGAUUUACUGGGUGGAAAGGGGGCGCAGACGGCGAUGCAAGCCAGGAGUGAAAGCCCGGGGCCCAACCCCGGGACUGCUCUUGGAAAUGCGUGGCUGGAGUGCAGGAGGGGCAGGCGGAAUUCCUGGUGUAGCGGUGAAAUGCGUAGAUAUCAGGAGGAACACCGGUGGCGAAGGCGGCCUGCUGGACUGCAACUGACGUUGAGGCCCGAAAGCGUGGGGAGCAAACAGGAUUAGAUACCCCAGUAGUC
RNAcentral lists this ribosomal RNA (440 nucleotides) under uncultured bacterium. RNAcentral's name for it is "partial 16S ribosomal RNA". It matches the Rfam family "Bacterial small subunit ribosomal RNA", at positions 338 to 795 of the family's 1533-position model. The record is from RNAcentral.